This 1653-nucleotide long non-coding RNA is filed under the name Homo sapiens (human). Its description in RNAcentral is "HSALNT0331749". The record is from RNAcentral. Lineage: Eukaryota; Metazoa; Chordata; Mammalia; Primates; Hominidae.
CUUCCCCAUCUGACUAAGAAGGCAACAGCUGAGCAACGUGAGAUCAAGAGCCAUAUUAAUUUAAACAGGGGCUGAAAGUGGCAUUUGAGAGAGAAGAUACUUCCUCUCGUAGUGGACACUUGUCUUUUCAGAAGAUUUAUACGACUGAGAGUCAAAACUUUUACCAGAGACUUUCAUAGUCAGUUUGAAUUCUGCAAAAUUUCUCUUUAUCUUCUGGAAUGUAUGCUCUAGACUUGGAGUGGCUCAAGCUCUUCGAUGUGAUCCUAUCAAUGUCAAGAGAAAGAAGCACUGAAGAGUCAUAAUUGUGUCCUGAUUUAUAAAUCGGAGACAGAGGGAGACGAAAACCACACUCCAGAAAGUAGCUUAAUCGGACUCACUACUAAGAUGUUAAAAGUGAAGAGGCUGGAAGAAUUCAACACGUGUUAUAACAGCAACCAGCUGGAGAAAAUGGCCUUUUUUCAGUGCAGGGAAGAGGUGGAGAAAGUGAAGUGUUUUCUGGAAAAAAAUUCUGGGGACCAGGAUUCAAGAUCUGGACAUAAUGAGCCAGAGAUGACUGGAGGCAGAGCUACCCACAGCCCGACCACUUCUACCUGAGCUCUUAUUGAGGAUGCAAAAAGCCAAAACCCUUUCAUGCAGCUGUUGAGAAGUCCAAACAAGUUCAGAAUCCUGAUCUUUUGUGUGUGGCCUAUAUUUUCUCUCUCUAGCAACUUGGGAAACCUUCUAUUUGUCCUUGUAUUGGGAAAAGUUUCUGCCAGAACCAAGAACCACUGUCCGUAAGUGGAGGGAAGUUCAGACUGAAGAAAGAGGCAAAACCACUUUAGAGUCUUGCUCUGUCACCCAGGCUGGAGUGCGGUGGUGUGAUCUUGGCUCACUGCAACCUCUGCCCCCCAAGUUCAAGCGAUUCUCCUGCCUUGGCCUCCCGAGUAGCUGGGACUACAGAUGGAAUCUUGCUGUGUCUCCAGGCUGGAGUGUAGUGGCGCGAUCUCGGCUCACUGCAACCUCUGCCUCCCGGGUUCAAGCAAUUCUCCUGCCUCAGCCUCCCGAGUAGCUGGGACUACAGGUGCCAGCCAUCACGCCCGGCUAAUUUUUUGUAUUUUUAGUAGAGAUGGGGUUUCACCAUGUUGGCCAGGAUGGUCUCGAUCUCCUGACCUCGUGAUCUACCCGCCUCAGCCUCCCAAAGUGCUGGGAUUAUAGGCGUGAGCCACCGCGCCCAGCCUAGUCUCUGCUUUUUUAAAAAAAAUGUUAGGACAGUGGUCCCUAAACUUGUCUGUGUAUUAGAAUCACCUGGGAAAUCUUUAAAAAUUCUAAGGACCAGGUAAAUUAAAUUAUAAUCUCUGGGAAUAGGACUGAUUUUUGUAUUUUUAGUAGAGACGGGGUUUUGCCAUGUUCACCAGGCUGGUCUCGAACUCCUGACCUCAGGUGAUCCACCCGCCUCAGCCUCCCAAAGUGUUGGGAUUACAGGUGUGAGCCACCACAUCCAGCCCAGACUAAUUUUUCUGAUGACAAAUGCUGCUUGUUGAUGUGAAUUCUGAUAUGGCACACACUUGAGCCUCACUUUGUUAGCUAUUAAUUUGUGUUACUGAAUUUACAGGCCUGGAAUACAAUUUGUGCUUCUUUUUAAAUAAAUUUCAUACUUUUUUUUUAAUGGACUUG